RNAcentral lists this ribosomal RNA (253 nucleotides) under uncultured bacterium. Its description in RNAcentral is "partial 16S ribosomal RNA". It matches the Rfam family "Bacterial small subunit ribosomal RNA", at positions 524 to 776 of the family's 1533-position model. The record is from RNAcentral.
UACGUAGGGGGCAAGCGUUGUCCGGAAUCAUUGGGCGUAAAGAGCUCGUAGGCGGUCUGUCACGUCGGCUGUGAAAACCCGGGGCUCAACCCCGGGCCUGCAGUCGAUACGGGCAGACUAGAGUGCGGUAGGGGAGACUGGAAUUCCUGGUGUAGCGGUGAAAUGCGCAGAUAUCAGGAGGAACACCGGUGGCGAAGGCGGGUCUCUGGGCCGUAACUGACGCUGAGGAGCGAAAGCGUGGGGAGCGAACAGG